RNAcentral lists this small RNA (36 nucleotides) under Arabidopsis thaliana (thale cress). RNAcentral describes it as "ATSL132930". The record is from RNAcentral. Lineage: Eukaryota; Viridiplantae; Streptophyta; Magnoliopsida; Brassicales; Brassicaceae.
AACAACAAAGAAACAGAGGAGGAAGAAGGAGAAUGA